Molecule: long non-coding RNA, 950 nt
Filed under: Mus musculus (house mouse)
Lineage: Eukaryota; Metazoa; Chordata; Mammalia; Rodentia; Muridae
Description: predicted gene, 48306
Source: RNAcentral
AGUCUUCCACUAGCAGCCUUUGGAUGAAGACGUAGAACUCUCAGCUCUGCAUGCACCAUGAUAGCCUGGAUGCUGCCAUGCUCCCACCUUGAUGAUAAUGGACUGAACCUCUGAACCUAGCAAAGAAGAGAAAAGUUCUCAGAGGGAAUUUUCCCCUCUGGAAGGGGCCUGACCUGCAGGACUUAAACAACAGGAUUCUCAAGGGAAGAGAGCAACAAUGACAAAUUUGGGAUCAGGAGACUCAAAGGAAGGAGACAAGACAAAAAUUCUGUUCAAGUCUCAUUUACUCUUGGGAAGUGGAGGGCUUAUAAAGCUGAAACCACAAAUGGCAUUUGCUCAGGUGCACAGGCCAAACCAGUCCUACCCUUGCUAACUAACACAUUGACAUUAAAGGGAUGUCCCCAUUGCAAAAUGUUGGGAAAGCCCCUAUCAUAAAAUGUCCUGAGUGCCCCUAUUGUAAAAUGUCCCAAGUGAGUUACAGAAACAGAAGCAAGAUAGUAAAAGAAACAAAGGAGUGUUAGUUAACCAAGUUAUGCCAUGACAAAACCAAAUUUACACAAUAUCUUUCUACAAAUCCAGCCCUACAAAGAAUAACAGAUGAAAAACACCAACACAAGGAUGAAAACUACACCCUAGUAAAAGUAAGAAAGUAAUCUUUCAACAAACCCAAAAGAAGAUAGCCACCCAAGCAUAAUUCCACCUCUAACAACAACAACAACAAAAAAGGAAGUAACAAUCACUUUCCCUUAAUUUCUCUUAACAUCAAUGGACUUAAAUCCCUCAAAAAGACAUAGACUAACAGACUGGAUACAUAAACAGGACCCAGCAUUUUGCUGCAUACAGGAAACACGCCUCAGUGUCAAAGACAGAUACUACCUCAGAGUAAAAGGAUAGAAAAAAUUUUCCAAGCGAAUGGCCCCAAGAAACAAGCUGGAGUAGCUAUUGUAAUA